GUCAAACACCCGGCUCUCCUCUCCACCAGGCUCCCACGCCCACCACACAGCCUGUAGCCCCGGCGGAGCUAUGGGCUCUGACUCCGCCUCUUUCCAAAUCCGGAGUAGUUCGUGCCACAGUCGUCCUCGGAACCCUGUGGCCCCUUCCUCACCCGUUUCAGGGCCACUUGGUUCCCACCUCCACCUUCUUAGUCUGCCUGCCCUGCUUUCCAUCUUCUUGGAAUUCGCCUUGCUGCCGCCCCGCGCCCACCCCCGCGCCCACCCCUGCCCCUGCACCGUCCCAUGCCCUUAUGGAUUUAUUCUUUACACGUAAAUAUGUCUUUCCUCUUUUUGAAAGGAUUUGGAGUUGGAACAGAGAAAUUCACUAUGGAUGAUGCUAUAUCUUUAUAUGACCUUUGGAAUAUCUGUAAUCAUCCUGAGGGCAAUACUUAUGUAAUGAAGAUGGAAGAAGAGAGAAUAUGAAUACUCCGUGCACUUUGAUCUUAUCGUUUAGCUGCUGAUCAUACCAUCCCUGGAGUCCUACUUCUGACUCCAAGUUAUGAGAUGGAAUCUUGCUCUGUCAUCCAGGCUGGAGUGCAAUGGUGCGAUCUCAGCUCACUGCAACCUCCACCUCUUGAGUUCAAGCGAUUAUCCUGCCUCAGCCUCCUGAGUAGCUGGGAUUACAGGGGCAUGGAUAAAGCUGGAAGCCAUCAUUCUCAGCAAACUAACACGGGAACAGGACACCAAACACCACAUGUUCUCAUUCGUAAGUGGGAGUAGAACAAUAAGAACACAUGGACACAGAGAGGGGCACAACACACUCUGAAACCUGUCAGGUGGUGGGGGCAAGGGGAAGGAGAGCAUCAGGACAAAUAGCUAAAAACCUAGAUGACAGGUUGUUGGGUACAGCAAACCACCAUGGCACUCAUAUAUAUAUAUAUAUAUAUAUAUAUAUACCUGCACGUUCUGCUCAUGUAUCCCAAAACAUAAAGUAACAACAACAACAAUAACAAAAUGCUUUAUGUAGGGGAGAAGUGUGUACGCGUAUGUGUGUGUGUAGUGUCACUGUUCAAAUGAAAAUCAGAAACGAAAAUCCAUUGGUGGGAUUUUCUGAGCCAUUUUAAAAUAAAUUUACAUUUUUUUUAAAUUUUGUUUUUCUGUAAGUUAUUGGGGUACAGGUGGUUUUUGGUUACAUGAGUAAGUCAUUUAGUGGUGAUUUGUGAAAUCCUGGUGCACCCAUCACCCGAGCAGUAUAUACUGCACCAUAUAUGUUGUCUUUUCUCUCUUUUGCCCCUCUCCCAUGCUUCUCCACAAGUCCCCAAAGCCCACUGUAUCAUUCUUAUGCCUUUGUGUCCUCAUAGCUUAGCUCCCACAUAUCAGUGAGAACAUACAAUGUUUGGUUUUCCAUUCCUGAGUUAUUUCACUUAGAAUUAUAGUCUCCAAUCUCAUCCAGGUCAUUGCAAAUGCUAUUAAUCAUUCCUUUUUAUGGCUUAGUAGUAUUCUAUUAUAUAUAUACGUAUAUGUAUAUAUAUAUAUAUACGUAUAUGUAUAUAUAUAUAUAUACGUAUAUGUAUAUAUAUAUAUACGUAUAUGUAUAUAUAUGUAUAUGUAUAUAUAUGUAUAUAUAUACGUAUAUAUAUAUACGUAUAUAUAUAUACGUAUAUAUAUAUACCAAAGUUUAUCCAUUUGUUGAUUGAUGGGCAUUUGGGUUGGUUGCACGAUUUUGCAAUUGUUAAUUGUGCCGCUAUAAACAUGCGUGUGCAAGUAUCUUUUUCGAAUAAUAACUUCUUUUUUUCUGGGUAGAUACCCAGUUGUGGGAUUGCUGGAUCAAAUGGUAGUUCUACUUUUAGGUCUUUAAGGAAUCUCCACACUGUUUUCCAUAGCAGCUGCACUAGUUUACAUUUCCACUAGCAAUGUAGAAGAAGUGUUCCCUGAUCACCUCAUUUACACCAACAUCUACUGUUUUUUGAUUUUUUUAUUAUGGCCAUUCUUUCAGGAAUAAGGUGGUAUCGCAUUGUGGUUUUGAUUUGCAUUUCCCUGAUCAUUAGUGAUGUUGAACAUUUUUUCAUGUGUUUGUUGGCCAUUUGUAUAUCUUCUUUUAAGAAUUGUCUAUUCAUGUCCUUAGCCCACUUUUUGAUGGGAUUGAUUGUUUUUUUCCUUACUGAUUUGUUUGAGUUCGUUGUAGAGUCUGGAUAUUAGUCCUUUGUCAGAUGUAUAGAUUGUGAAGAUUUUCUCCCACUCUGUGUUGUCUGUUUACUUUGACGACUGUUUUUUUUUUUUUGUCAUUCAAAAGCUAUUUUGUUGAAUUAGGUCCCAGCUAUUUAUCUUUCUUUUUAUUGCAUUUGCUUUUGGGUUUUUGGUCAUAAAAUUAUUGCCUAAGCCAAUGUCUAGAAAGGUUUUUCCAGUGUUAUCUUCUAGAGUUUUUAUAGUUUUAGGUCUUAGGUUUAAGUCUUUAAUCCAUCCUGAGUUGAUUUUUGAAUAAGGUGAGAGAUGAGGAUCCAGUUUCAUUCUGCCACAUGUGGCUAGCCAAUUUUCCCAGAACUAUUUGUUGAAAAGGGUGUCUUUUCCCCACUUUAUGCUUUUAUUUGCUUUGUCGAACAUCAGUUGGCUGUAAGCAUUUUGGUUUAUUUCUGGGUUCUUAUUCUGUUCCAUUGGUCUAUGUGCCUAUUUUUAUACCAGUACCAUGCUGUUUUGGUGACUAUGGCCUUAUAGCAUAGUUUGAAAUCAGGUAGUGUGAUGCCUGCAGAUUUGUUCUUUUUGCUUAGUCUUGCUUUGUCUAUAUGGGCUCUUUUUUGUUUCCAUAUGAAUUUUAGAAUUGUUUUUUCUAAUGCUGUGAAGAAUGAUGGUGGUAUUUUGAUGGAGAUUGCAUUGAAUUUGUAGAUUGCUUUUGGCAGUAUGGUCAUUUUUACAAUAUUGAUUCUACCCAUUUAUGAGCAUGGCAUGUGUUUCCAUUUGUUUGUGUCAUCUAUGAUUUCUUUCAGCAGUGUUUUAUAGUUUUCCUUGAUUUGAUUCUCCACUUGGUCACUGUUGGUGUACAGAAAAGCUACUGAUUUGUGUACAUUAAUCUUGUAUCCAGAAACUUUGCUGAAUUAUUUUAUCAGUUCUAGGAGCUUUCUGGAGGAGUCCUUAGGAUUUUCAAGGUAAAUGAUUAUAUCAUUAGUAAACAGGGACAGUUUGAGUUCCUCUUUACUGAUUUGGAUGCCUUUUAUUUAUUUCUCUUGUCUGAUUGCUCUGGCUAGAUCUUCCAAUACUAUGAUGAAGAGGAGUGGUGAUAUAGUGACAGUCCUUGUCUUGUUUCCAUUCUCAGAGGGAAUGCUUUCAACUUUUCCCCAUUCAGUAUUUUGUUGACUCUGGGUUUGUCAUAGAUGUCUUUUACUACAUUAAGGUAUGUCCCUUGUAUGCCAAUUUUGCUGGGGGUUUUAAUCUAAAGCGAUGCUGGAUUUUGUCAAAUGCUUUUUCUGCAUCUAUUGAGAUGAUCAUGUGAUUUUUGUUUUAAAUUCUGUUUAUAUGGUGUAUCACAUUUAUUGAGUUGCAUAUCUUUAACCACCCCUGCAUCCCUGGUAUGAAACCCACUUGAUUGUGGUGGAUUACCUUUUAGAUAUGUUGUUGGAUUCAGUUAGCUAGUAUUCUGUUAAGGACUUUAGCAUCUAUGUUCAUCAAGGAUAGUGGUCUGUAGUUUUCCUUUUUGGUUAUGUUCUCUCCUGGUUUUGGUAUUAGGGUGAUGCUGGCUUCAGAGAAUGAAUUAGGGAGGGUUCCUUCUCUAUAUAUCUUGUGGAAUAAUGUCCACAGGAUUGGUACCAGUUCUUCCUUGAAUGUAUGGUAGAAUUCUGCUGUGAAUCUGUUUGGUCCUGGACUUUUUUUAUGUUGGUAAUUUUUAAAUUAUCAUUUAAAUCUCGCUGCUUGUUAUUGGUCUCUUCAGGGUAUCUACUUCUUGCUGAUUAAGCUAGGUGUAAGAUUGUCCCCAUGGCCUGAAAGCUUAAGGAGAUAUAUAACUCCUCGCUUCUCAGGCCCAGUCCCAAGGCGCAAGGCCACUUGCGUCAGCAGUGUGUGCGGCAGCAUGCACCAGCAAGAUAGCAGAGGCAGAAAAAUAGCCAGUCAGAAGACACCUACCCCUGAAGAUUGAGAAAGAGGCCAUAUGGGUAAAACAUAGCAGUUACGUCAGACUAGGACACUUCCUGUUUACAGGAGACUGUAAAACAUUUGUCCCAUCCUCACUUGGUGCUAACGCCAUUUUAAGCCUCAGCCCGCCUGCACCCAGGCACUCAUUAAGACAGCAUGUUGCUCCACACUGCCUCGUGUUGUCUGUUGGUGCACUCUCGGGGUUCAAACUGUUACAAGAACCUUAUAUUUUGGUGCUGAAAUCUGGGAGGGGCUCAGGUCUGCAUCCCCCAUGGACCUAGCCCUCCACCCCAAAGAGCAGGCCACAGCAGCUGGACAAAGGAAGGUCCUCAGCCUCCAGUCGCCUCUCUGUGCAUGCAGUCGGUCACUGAUCUCGCCUACUGGUAAGUUUCCCCAGAAGCCCAGUUAACAGAGAAAAAUCUGCACAGCCUCUCUUGGUUUCUCCAGUCCAAAGCCCCAACAUUGGUCCAAGAAGGCUCUGGCAUGUGCCAGGCACCCGAUAAUUAUCUAGUCUUAAGGGGACGCCUCUAAGCCAUUUAAUCCUGUUCCAGGAACAAAAAAGGCAGCAGUGAUGAUGGCUCCUUUUAUCUUCUCCCUCCGGCUGUCCAGGAUGGCCUCCUUUUCCCUGUUCUCCCAAGCCCACCCUCCCUUAUGGGAAACUCCCGGUCCUCUGUUCCAAAAAAAAAAACAGUCCUCUAGGCUGCCUCAUAAAAAAACCUGCAAACAUUAGGCCUCAAGCUAGAUAUGUGCCCUAAGCGCCUUGUCUUUUUUUUUUUUUUUUUUUUUUUUUGCAAUUCAGUCUGGCCACAAUAUGAAUUAAAUAAUGGGUCCAAAUGGCCCGCAAAUGGAACAUUCAACUUUGCAAUUCUAACUUAUUUAAGCAAUUAAUGCUGACGACUGGAGAAAUGGCAAGAAAUUCCUUACGUCCAGGCCUUUUUACACUCAGAUCACAACCUGUCCUCUGCAAUUCUUGCUUAUCUGUUCAAAUCCUUCCCCUCCAUUCUAGCCGCCCUAAUCACCUUUCUCCUCCCAACCGUACCUCUUUUUUUCUCAUUAAAUCCAGCAGACUGCUGUCCACCCCUCCCAGCCCCUACCUCUUCCUCUCAACCAUCUUCUUUAACCCCCCAAGCCUCCUCAUUGUCUUCUCAGCUGCCAUCUUCCCAGUCAGCUGUAUCCACUUAUUUUUCUACACCGUCCCCUCCUCAGAACAAUUCUAAUAUUACCUAUACCUAUUCUCCUCCCCAACGCCCUCUCCUGAGGCUUGUAAACCUAUCCUGCCACCUUACGCCUCUGUCUAUCCUCCACUGCCUAUUAACUCAACCGCGCUUUCCCCUUCAAACCCUCAGAAGGAAUCAGUAUUUUAAACCUUCAGUUCAUCUCCUAAUCCACCCCCAAUGUUUGGCUCAAGCUCCAGAAGCUUGACGACGGCCGUCAAACCCCACAACAAGUCCUUCUUAAUUUAGCCUUCAAAGUCUUCAACAAUUGUAAUGAGGAAAGUAAAAGGCAAAAACAGGCAGAGUUUCAAAUGCUUGCCUCCACCAUCAGGGGCCCUGCAGGCCCACGGGGCCGCAGCUCCACACAGAAGCCUCCUAAAAAUCCACCUCCACCUGGCGCCUAUUUCAAGUGUGGCAAUGAAGGCCACUGGUCCAGACAAUGCCCAAACCCAGGUAAAGCCAGCAGUCCAUGCCCCUCUCUGCGGAGAACCCCACUGGAAGUCGGACUGUAAGCAGCUCCCACAAGGACUGCCCCCAUCCCUUCCUGAGCUAGCCAAAACCUCCUACUUAUAUCUCAUCGGCCUUGCCACUGAAGAAUGAUGGUGCCCUGGAACAGACACCCUGGCAACUACCUUUGCCUCAUCCAAGCCAAGGGUAACCCUGAUGGUGGCAGGUAGGCCAGUAUAUUUUUAAAUUAAUACCAGGCAACCUACUCUGCUUUACCUAAUUUUUCAGGAACCACCCAGUCCUCCCAGGUGUCUGUUGUAGGAAUUAAUGGACAAGUCUCCAAACCUCGAGUCCCCCCUCCACUUUUCUGCUCCCUUCACACCUUUUCCUUCACUCACUCUUUCUUAGUCCUGCCCUCAUGCCCAACUACUCUCCUAGGCAGAAAUAUCUUUCCAAAACUCCACACUACUUUCCACUUCCACAUUCCCCAUAGUACCCAACACAUCAACCCAGACCCCUCUGGGGCUUCUAACUUUCUUCUACUCCUCCAACCACCCACCUUAAAACGUGCAACUUUUUCUUGUCCCCCAUCUGUAGUUAACCCCGCUGUUUAGGAUACUUCCACACCCUCAGUCGCAGGACACCACACCCCUGUCCACAAUACCCUUAAAUAGCCCACCCAGUUCCUAUCACAGAAGUAGUAUGCCAUCCCCCAAGUAGCUCUCAUAAGCCUAAAGCCUAUCAUUUCUCGUCUCCUCUCCAGUCACCUACUCUGCCCAACAAACUCCCCUUUUAACACACCAGUUCUACCUGUGAAAAAGCUAGAUGGAGCUUAUCACUUAGUCUAGGACCUCAGGCUCAUUAACCAAGCUGUACUCCCAGUAUGUCCAGUAGUUCCUUACCCAUAUACUUUACUUUCCACAAUUCCCUCCGAUACCACUCAUUUUUCUGUUCUAAACCUAAAGGAUGCUUUUUUUUCAUAAUUCCUUUACACUCUGAUUCCCAAAACCUCUUUUCCUUUAUGUGGAAUACCCCCGACACCCACCUUUCAUAGACAGCCCCCACUUUUCUGUGUCCAAAAGGCCCUUGCUCAUGACCUCUGUAGCUUAUCCCUAAAGCUGUCCACUCUCUUUCAAUGUAUUAAUGAUCUGCUCCUGUGUAGCCCCUCUCAAAAAAACUGCAACUACCAUACUAUCUCUCUUUUAAACUUCUUCCCAAAAUGCGAGUAUUAGGUCUCCCCUAAAGAAACAAAAAUAUGCACCCCCCUCAGUCACCUAUCUAUGCCUAACUCUUACCCCAUGAACCUGAGAGCUCACAACCGACCACAUAUCCCUCCUCCAGUCCCUCCUGCCUCCGCAAACUAAGCAAAAAAAUCUCUCUUUUCUAGGACUAGUGGGAUAUUGUAGGCUCUGGGUUCCCUCCUUCGCUCUAUCUGCCAAACCAUUAUACCAGGCUGCUAAAGGCCCUCUCUAUGUGCCAUUAAACUCUGCACAGCCUAUUACCCAACCUUUCCAUCUACUCCAGAAGGCUCUCACCUCAGCCUCAUCCUCACUCUCCCAGACCUCACCAAACCUUUCUCCCUCUAUAUCGACAGAUGAUGUAAAGUUGCAUUAUGUAUUCUAACCCAGUCUAAGGGACCUACCGCCCAGGUUGUUGCCUACCUCUCUAAACAGCUUAAAGCCACCAUUCUCCGAUGGCCUGCCUGCCUUCAAGCAUUGGUGGCAGCUGCUGUCCUCACCCUUGAAAGCCUAAAACUAUCUCUCCAUGCCAACCUAACAGUUUAUUCAACCCAUAACAUCAAAAACAUGUUAGCUCACUGCAGUGUACUAAGUCUCAUCUCUGCCCCAUGGCUCCUCCAACUGUAUGCUCUAUUCAUAGAAAACCCCCUCCUACCAAUCACCAUACUAACCAGCUCCCGUCUAAACACAGCCAUGCUCUUACCUGAAGUUACAACCGCCCAAGACCCUACACACUUCUGUGUAAACACUGUUCAAACCUUCCUUAUACCUUUUCCAAACCUAACAGAACAACCCUUUCCAGAUGCCCCCUUUACUUAGUUUGUAGAUGGCAGCUCCUUCCUACAUCAAGGACGCUGGCAUGCUGGCUAUGCUAUAGUGUCACCCCACACACACACACUAUUGAAGCCAAUCUGCUCUUGCUAAGCACCACCUCUAAAAAAGCUGAACUCGUCGCUCUUCCUCAAGCUCUCACUCUAGCAGCCAGACAACAAAUCAACAUAUAUUCAAAUUCUCGUUAUACAUUCUACAUAGUGUACUCACACUCGUCCAUCUGGAAAAAACGAGGCUUCCUAAUUGCAAAAAACACUCCUGCCAUAAAUGGCUCUCUCAUCAGCAAACUCCUUCAAGCUGCCAGGCUUCUACAGAAAGUUGCCAUCAUUUAUUGCAGGGGCCACCAAACCCCGGAUGAUCCUAUAUCAGCUGGAAAUAGGCUAGCAGAUCAGAUAACCAAACAAGUAGCCCUCCAACCCAUGCAAGGCCAGUUUCUGUCCCUGUCCUUUUUCUCUCCUCUUUACUCCUCAGAAGAAAAGGAGGACUUCCAAGCCCAAAACCUUCAAAAGCAAGGACCAUGGUAUGUCAAGGAAAGGUGCUUUAUUCUUCCUCACUCUCAAAGCCUUCCUCACCUCCAAAGCCUCCACAACCCUUUCCAUAUCAGUUACAACCUCUCUUGCAACUUCUCUGCCCUAUUCUCACUUGCCCUCACCUUUCCAGCCAUGUUUGAGAAAUUACCUAGUCCUGCUCUGUCUGCCACUCAGUGUCACCCCAAGGCUCCUUCCAGCCACCUUUUCCUACCCACCAAGCCCAGGGCCAGGUACCCAGGCAAAAUUAACAAAUGGACUUCACUCACAUGCUGGCCAAUAAACGGCUCCACUAUCUUCUAGUCUUUAUCUGUACUUUCUCCAGGUAGAUAAAAGCAUUCCCAACAACUUCAGAAGGUAUAAAUGUCAUCACACAAACUCUCUUCAUGCAUAUAAUUCUCCGUUUUGGACUUCCAACAUUCAUCCAGUCCAACAACGGACCCUCCUUCAUCAGCCAAAUUAUCCAAGGCAUCUCUACAUCCUUAGGUAUAAAAUGGGUUCUCCACACACCCUAUAGGCCUCAAUUCUCAGGCAAAGUUGAAAAAAUUACGUCUGUCCUUAAAGCCCAACUCACCAAGCUGGCUCUAAAAACUCACCAGUCGUAAACAAAAAAUCUCCCUUUCACCCUUAUAAGACUCCACACAACACCAAAAGCACCCUCUUUUUAUAGUCCCUUUGAAAUCAUAUAUGGCCAAACUUUUGUCUUGGGGUCUCCACCCUUACCAGACUCUGAGCCACUCAGAUAUUACCUCUCCUCCUUAAUCCAGACAUGGUCUUUCAUUCGUGAAGCAGCAAAUAAGGCCAUGCCUCUCCCUGUUAACACCUUUUUGUCCUCUGAACGUAACUGUCUUACAGGCACAGACGUGUUUCCAGACAAUCCAGAUGAUGCUUCUGCUACAGCGACAUGGCCCAGUCCCAAGGCGCAAGGGCCACUUGUGUCAGCAGUGUGCACCAGCAGCGUGCGCCGGCAAGAUAGCAGAAGCAUGAAAAGGGCCGGCCAGAAGACACCUACUCUGGCUGGAAGACACGUACCCCUGAAGAUCAAGAAAGAAGCUAUCUGGGAACAAUGUAGCAGUUACGUCAGACCAGGACACUUCCUGUUUACAGGAGACUAUAAAACCUUUGUCCUAUCAUCACUUGAUGUGGACGCCAUUUUAGGCCUCAGCCCGCCUGCACCCAGGCACUGAUUAAAACAGCAUGUUGCUCCACACUGCCUCGUGUUGUCUGUUGGCAUGCUCUUGGGGUUCAAACUGAUACAAGAACCUUACACUAGGAGGGUUGUGUUUUUCCAGGAAUUUAUUAAUCUCUUCCAGAUUUUCUAGUUUAUGUGUGUAAAGGUGUUCAUAUUAGCCCUGAAUGAUCUUUUGUAUUUCAGUGGUGUUAGUUGAAAUAUCUCCUGUUUCAUUUCUCUGUGAGGUUAUUUGGAUAGUCUCUCUUAUUUUCUUGGUUAAUCUUGCUAAUGGUCUCUCAAUUUUAUUUAUCUUUUCAAUGAAUCAACUUUUUGUUUCAUUUAUCUUUCGUAAAAUUUUUUUUUUCAAUUUCAUGCAGUUCUUCUCUGAUCUUGGUUAUGUUCUUUGUCUGCUGGGUUUGGGUUUGGUUUGUUCUUGUUUCUCUAGUUGCUUGAGGUGUAACCUUAUAUUGUCUGUAUGCACUUUUUCAGACUUUUUGUUGUAGGUGUUUAGGGCUAUGAACUUUCCUCUUAGCGCCUCCUUAGCUGUAUCCGAAAGUUUUUGAUAGGUUGUGUCAUUAUUGUCAUUCAUUUUGAAGAAUUUUAAAAUUUUCAUCUUGAUUUUGUUUUUGGCCCAAUGCUCAUUCAGGAGCAGGUUAUUUAAUUUCCAUGUAUUUGCAUGGUUUUGAAAGUCCUUUUGGAGUUCAUUUCCAGUUUUAUUCCACUUUGGUCUGAGAGAGUAUUUGAUAUAAUUUCAAUUUUCUUAAAUUUGUUGAGGUUCAUUUUAUGGCCUAUCAUAUGGUCUAUCUUGGAGAAGUUCCAUGCACUGUUGAAUAGAAUGUGUAUUCUGCAGUUGUUGGAUGAAAUGCUCUGUAGAUAUCUGUUAAGUCCAUUUGUUCCAAGGUAUAGUUUAAAUCCAUUGUUUCUUUGUUGACUUUCUGUCUUGAUGACCUGUCUAUUGCUGUCAGUGGAGUAUUGAAGUCCCCCACUAUUAUGAUUCUAUCUAUCUCAUUUCUUCAUUCUAUUAGUAAUUGUUUUAUAAAUUUGGGAUCUCUAGUCUUAGGUGAAUAUUUGUUUAAGAUUAUGCGGUUUUCCUGUUGUAUCAGGCCUUUUUACCAUUAUAUAAUGUCCCUCUUUGUGUCUUUUAACCACUGUUGCUUUAAAGUUCAUUUUGUCUGAUAUAAGAAUAUCUACUCCUGCUCAGUUUUGGUGUCCAUUUGCAUGAAAUGCCUUUUUGUACGCCUUUACUUUAAGUUUAUGUGAGUCUUUUUGUGUUAGGUGAGUCUCCUGAAGACAGUAGACGGUUGGUUAAUUCUUAUCCAUUAUGUGGUUCUGCAUCUUUUAAGUGGAGCAUGUAGGGUAUUUACAUUCAAUGUUAGUAUUGAAAUGUGAGGUACUCUUGCAUUCAUCAUGCUCUUUGUUGCCUGUGUACUUUGUUUUUGUUGUUGUUGUUUUAACUCGUGUUUUUGUUUUAUAGGCCCUUUGUAAUUUAUGCUUUAAAGAGAUUCUGUUUUGAUGUGUUUCCAGGAUGUGUUUCAUGAUUUAGAGCUUCUUUUAGAAGUUCUUGUAAUGGUGGCUUUGUAAUGGUGAAUUCUCUCAAUAUUUGUUUGUCUGAAAAUCACAGUAUCUUUCCUUCAUAUAUGAUGCUUCAUUUGGCUGGAUAAAAAAUUCUUGGCUGAUAAUUGUUUUGUUUGAGAAGGCUGAAGAUAGGACCCCAAUCCCUUCUAGGUUGUAGGGUUUCUGCUGAGAAAUCUGCUGUUAAUCUGUUAGGUUUUCCUUUAUAGGUUUCCUGGUGCUUCUGUCUCAAAACUCUUAAGAUUCUUUCCUUCAUCUUAACUUUCGAUAACCUGAUGACAAUGUGCCUAGGUGAAGAUCUUUUUGCAAUAGAUUUCCCAGGUGUUCUUUGUGCUUCUUGUAUUUGCAUGUCUAGGUCUCUAGCAAGGCUGGGAAAGUUUUCCUUGAUUAUUCCCCUAAAUAUGUUUUCCAAGCUUUCAGAGUUGUUUUCUUCCUCAGGAAUACCGAUUAUUCUUAGGUUUGGUUGUUUAACAUAAUCCAAAACUUCUUGGAGGCUUUGUUUAUAUUUUCUUAUUCUUUUUUCUUUGUCUUUGUUGGAUUGGGUUAAUUCAAAGACUUUGUCUUCAAGCUCUGAAUUUCUUUCUUCUACUUGUUCAAUUCUAUUGCUGAGACUUUCCAGAGCAUCACACAUUUCUAAAAGUGUGUCCAAUGUUUCCUGAAUUUUUAAUUUUUUUUUUCUUUAAGCUAUCUAUUUCAUUGGAUAUUUCUCCCUUCACUUUUUGUAUUAUUUUUUGGACUUACUUGCAUUGGGCUUUGCCUUACUUUGAUCUCUCCCUGAUUAGCUUAAUAACUGACCUCCUGCUUUCUUUUUCAGGUAAAUCAGAGAUUUCUUCUUGGUUUGGAUCCAUUGCUGGUGAACUCGGGUCGGGGGGUGUUGAGGAGCCUUGUUUUGUCAUAUUACCAGGGUUGGUUUUCUGCUUCCUUCUCAUUUGGGUAGACUCUGUCAGAGGGAAGGUCUAGGGCUGAAGGCUGUUGUUCAUAUUAUAUUUUCCCACAGGCUGUUCCCUUUAUGUAGUACUCUCCCCCUUUUCGUGUGGAUGUGGCUUCCUGUGAACUGAACUGCAGUGAUUGUUGUCUCUCUUCUGGGUCUAGCCACCCAGUGAGUCUACCUGGCUCUGGGCUGGUACUGGGGGUUAUCUGCACAGAGUCCUGUGAUAUUAACUGUCUAUGGGUCUCUCAGUCAUGGAUACCAGUGCCUGUUCCAGUGGAGGUGACACAAGGGGCAAUGGACUCCAUGGGGGUCCUCAGUUUUGGUGGUAUAAUGGCCUAUUUUUGUGCUGGUUGGCCUCCUACCAGGAGGUGGCACUUUCCAGAAAACAUCAGCUGUAGUAGUGUGGAGAGGGACUGGUGGUGGAUAGGGCCCUACAACUCCCAAGGUUAUAUGUCCUUUGUCUCCUGCCACCAGGGUGGGUAGGGAAGGACCAUUGGGUGGGGGCAGGGCCGUGUCUGAGCUCAGACUUUCCUUAGUUGAGUCUUGCUGUGGCUGCAGUGGUGGAUGGGGGUGAGACUCCCAGGUCACUGGAGUUGUUUACCAAGGCAGAUUAUGGCUGCCUCUGCUGAGUCAUACAGGUUGUCAGGGAAGUGGGGUAAAGCUGGUAGCCACAGACCUUACUCAGCUCUCACUCAAACCGAAGGGCUGGUCUCACUCCCACCAUGCCCUCAGCAACAGCCCUGAACCUGUUUCCAGGUGAAGGGCCAGUCAGGCUUGAAAAUUUUCCCAAGGUUUUCUUCACAUUUGCAAAUGAAAAGGGCUUUAGUUCUUUCCCCACCUGUGAAGUCUGCAAACUGGAUUCGCGCCCUCCCCUGAGUUCUGGCCUUGAGACUUCUCGCCCUGUUCAAAUUGUUAGAAAUUUCAGCUAGAGAAGUUCUUCUCAUUGUGGAGUUUUACCCCCUGCUCCUCUGGCCACCCUCCUGAUGGAUCCCUGUGGUGCCAGGCAGGAAUUGUCUGCUUGGGGAUCCAGCGAGCUCCCAGUGCCUUUCUGCUACUUCCUCUAUCCCUGUGUUUCGCUGGGUUUGGCUCUCUAACUUGACUCGGCUCCAGGUAAAGUUGGGAACUUCUCCCACAAACAGACCUUCAGCUUCUCCAUUGGGGAUGUCUGUUUGGGAGAGGAGGGUCUCCCUUUUCCACUUCCAUGGUUGGGGCACUCACAGUAUUUAGGUUGUCUCCCGUGUCCUGCAGGAGCAGUCUGCUUCCUUUAGAGGGUCUGUGGGUCCUCUCAGGAUUGCUGGUCUGUUAUUGCAGUCGAUCUGGAGCUAAAAUUCACAAUGCAAGCCUCCGUAUGCUGCUCUGUCCGGAGCUGCAAUCUAGUCCUACCUCCCAUCAAAUUUACACAUUUUAAAAUACCAUUUACUUCCUAAUCUGACAGGAUAUCAAACCAGGUUCGUCCAGCUUUCCUGUCUGACACCUCUUUAGUUUCCUUGGUAACAAAACUUUGCUCCAUGAUUCCGGUAACAAAACUCUUUAGUUUCCUUGGUAUCAAAACUCUGCUCCAUGAUUCUGGGGUCUGAUUUUGAAUAAAUGCAACGUCAGAAGCAAGAGUGAGCUGAGUACUUUACAGCUGUGGAACCUAAAGCAAAAAAAACAGACACAGCAUCCCAAUUCUAAUUCUGACUCUGAUUUGGAUUCAGAUCCAUAUUUCCCCCAGACUCUACAGACACAUCACUUCUCCUCCUUUGUUCCCCUUCCAGUUCUGCUAUGGAAGAAGCAACAUCUAAGAUGACGGAAAUUAUUUCAGAGCCCACAGUUACACUGGAAAAUGAGGUAAAAAAAAAAUAGAAUUCUGCUCACUACCUUACAGAAAAACAAGCCAGACAAAAGGGUGGAAUGGUUAAGAGACAGUGUUGACAAUGAGCACUUGGACUAUCGCUCAUCUAAAUGCUGCUGCAUUUAUCAAAAGCCUCAUGCCUUUGGUGAAAGCUCCUCAGAGAGUGAAAAAGAGGAUGAAGAAAAUUGUAAUUUCAUGCUAUAUUUCUGGGGUCAUCACAAUGGACGGCAUCAUUCCCUUCCCAAUAGGGCUUCUAGUACUUUAUCUAAAAAACCUUGAGACACAUCUCAUCCUCUUCCUUCACCCAUGAAGGGCUAAGCUUACUUUGCUUCCCCCAUCCCUGAAUGAGACUGGACUAAAAUAUAUCCACGUUGCUAUUCAGGGAUUAAACAUAUUUUGAAUCUUUUUUGAUGUGUGUUCUAUCUCUCUUCUGUCUGAUGGAAAGGGUAGCAAUGAAGGAAGACAAGGGGAGAGAAACAAAGGGAUCAAUAGAAUACCUGGAAGCCCUGGUACUGCAUGACUACUAUUCUACAAUACACAUGUCACAUGUAUAUUCUUGUCUUUUUUAGAGAUCUGGAAUAACUUCUCCUAUAUUUUCUUGGCUAGUCUAUUAUCAUGACACCAAACCCCCACUUUCCACAGAGCUACCAUUUUCUCUAUACUUGUUACCCAUAAUAGUUUCUAUCAUCUAAUGAGUACCAGAUUAUUCUUUACCAUUAAUUGGAAGCUUUGUAAUCUUGUCACCUGAUAUUUACCCAUUACACUUUAUUCUUGCUUUUAUCCUGGGUGAUUUCAAUAUCCCUGUAGAUAAGAUUUCAUAUAAACUAGGUAUUUCUCCUCUACUUUUAUUUAGGAACCCCACAGCCAUAGUCAUACCAUGAAGCUAAUGAGCACUAGUACUAUUCCACAUCUAAGUUUUAUAAUUAGGGAUCUUAUUUUCUCAUCCCAAACUCCUAUCUUUUGACUUCUGUCUCAUACUCGCUUACAACACUAUUUUGUGAAUUCAUGGAGACUCCUAGUCACCCAAAUUUGUGCUGACCUCUCAAUCAGUCAACCUUCUGGGUAUAACUUCUUUUCCACCCAAACUUCUGACCCAUCAACAGCAUUCUUUCCCGUGUUCUUACUUCUUCACUCUUUUGUGAAACCUCUCUUGCCAAUUCCAAAUUAUGACAUGUGACUCAGGAAAACUAAAAUGAAGUGUUUGUGGACUUGGGGAAAGGUGGUAUCAAAGAAACAUCAGGAAACUAUCAAGAGGUAGAAUAGUAGUUUAAAUUUAUUACAUGUUUUGUGUGUGCCUAGCAUUUUCUUCAAGGCUUUAUGUAUAAUAACCCAGGAAUUCUGGGAAAGUCUCAGUCUUUAUCUCUUCAAAUAUAUUCUGCUUCAUUCUCUUUUUCCUAUUUCUUUGAGACUCCAAUUUAAACCUAUGUUACACUUCCUUCUAUAUUUGUUAAUAUUAUCUUUAUUUUUCUGUCUCUUUUAAACAUCAUUUGGAUCAUUUCUUCUUAUCAGCAUUUAGUUCACCAAUAUAGCUUGAUUUAUAUCUAAAAAGCUAUUAAACCCAUCCACUUAAUUUUGUUUCCUUAUACUCUUCAGUCCUAGAAUUUCAACUUAGUACUUUUUCCCAAUUGUUAGAUCCCUUAUUAUGAGGACCUGAAUAAUUCAAAUUCUCUGUAAGAAACUUUUGGCUUGACUUUGAUUUCCUUGCACAUACUAAGCAUAAUUAUUUUAUAACUUGUGUCUGAUAAUUGUAGUAUUUACAAUCCUGGUGAAUUUGUUUCCAUUGUCUGAUUUUCUCUCCUAGUUCUUGCUCAUAGUUUCUUGUUUUCUUGCUUUUGUGCUUUUUUUAUUCCUUGAUUAUAUGCUAUACUCUAUUUUAAAUAUUAUUUGUAGAAAUUUGAGGUCGAGGAUAAUGAUAUCUUCCUCCAAAGGAAGUGUGUGUGUGUGUGUGUGUGUGUGUGUGUGUGAGUGUGUGUGUGUUUCUAUGGGUUUCUGAGGUCAGUAGAAAUCCGGGAUUAUCUUAAUCCAAAUUUAGAGUUUAGUAUUUUUGAGGAUUCCAAAAUUAACUAAAGUUGGGUUGUAGCUCAUUACAGCUUCCGUUUGGUUCAAUUCACUUUUAUUCAUGAUUUUCUGGCCAUUAUAGGUCAAGAUCAAAACUACCCACUCUUGGUAGACUGAGGACUAUGAAUUUUAUCUUCCUAGCACAAUGAAGUCACCAAAAGUACAGAUCUUCCUCUCACGCAUUACUUUAGACUCAGCAAAUAUUCCUUUCCCCCAGAGAAAAAUAGGUUCCAUGUUCUGGACUCAACACUAGAUUCCUUUUCUGUUAUAGACCUCUGUCUAAUAGUUCCUCACUAUUUUGCCUAUUUUUUAGCUUUUUUUGUAAUUGCAAGAAUAUUUUGAAUUUUUUUGUAGCCUUUUGAUUUGUUUUCCAGUUCCAACCCAGGGAAUGUUGAUCUAAGUUAUCUUUUUAUACCUUUAUAUUCACUAUUUUAUCAUUACAAUAAUGCCAUGAGGUAGAUAAUAUUGUUAUCCUCACAGUACAUCUUAGAAACUGAGAUAUAGAGUUAAUAAUUUGCCUUAGAUAACACAGCUAAUAAGAAUUAGAAAUGAAAUUUGAACCCAAGCAUUCUGGCUCAACAGUCUGAAUUCCUCAACAUUUGCUUUUUCUGAAUUAUUAGGCAAUUAAUCCCUCUGGCAAAACAGAAAUUGUUCUAUGUCUACUUGGGUUAGAGUUCUGGCAGAACAUAAACAUUAGAGGUUGUAGGUUAAAACAAAACAAGCCCCUGGGAUCCCACCAAGCAUGCUUUUGGUGGGCUAGGAAGAUAAAUUUUGUGACCAGGAUCUACUUUUCUAACAAAGGAGACUUUCAUUCUAUCAAUAAAUUUCCAUAUGCAUGAUAUGCUUGGAAGAUUCAAGCCAGCCUAGGGGCCCUCUUGGAAUAUAAAGAUACUAAUAGUAUGUCUUUUGACUGAAAGGCCCCAGUUUGGAUUGAACUGAUAUCUGUAUAGAUGGAGGGAUGAAGGAUACUAAUUGGGGAAGAAAGUGCUAGCCCCCUCAAGGAAAGACUGACAGUCUGAAUCACAGAAUUGAAAGGGCAUGACAAUUCCAUUUGGAUUUGACAUAAGUUCACAAAGGAAAUAGUUGUGUAGAUCAUGAAGAUUCCUGCAAGGUGAAGUAAGGUUUAUGGGAAGCAAGGACAAAAUUCAGAAAAUGGUGUUAAGAAAAUGGUGAGGGAGAGGGCUGAGGCCCAGCCAAGUUCUCUAAGAUUGUUCUCAAUGGGGAACUAAAGUGGAUAAAUGGAAAGUAGUGACCUACACAAAGUGCCAGUCAGCCAAACAAAACAUGCCAAAUGUCAAGUGAGUAGGAAAAUUUCAGCUCUUAAAAUUACGUAGGCUUUAAUAAUUCCAAAUUUAAUUUGAUUCUCAGAAUAUGGGAGGAGACUACAUGCACAGUUCUAAAGCCAUCACUGUUUUUGUUUUUAUGAUGUUUCCAGUUAUUUCUAGGCUCUCUAGUCUCUCUCGUAACUAAGAUAGACAUAUUCAAUUCUGUAUUUAUAUUCCUUUGCCAGUUUAUACUUCAUAGGUACAAUCCAUUACUGUUAUAACUGGUCUAUAAAUGUCUUGUUUUCUUCUAACUCUUAGAACAGUGAUAAAAAUUCAUUGGCAUGCAUGUAGUCCGUGUUACAGCCUAGAUGGAACAAGCACAUAUGCUCAUGUGUCAUUUCUGACUCAGUGGUAUCUCUACAAACUCUCAAACUUCUUGUAGAAAUUUUUUAUGUUGGCCUACCAGGGAGAUCUGUUACAGUAAUGAAGGAACUACUUAACUGCUCCCCUUGAGCCCUGAAGAAGUUAAUAAACAAAAACAUCACUGAAGUCUUAGUAAUUUUGUGUGUUAUACUCCCUGAUGCAUUUAUAACUGACCAGAAAAGCUGGCAGAUUUGUAAAGAGAUUCCUCCUCUGCUCAUGAGAUAUAGGAAUGCCUACAACCAGGUCUAUGGUAUUAUGUAGAUCAAUAACUGUCUUAUGAGGAGUAGCUAGCCAGGGGCUUUUUCUUCUACUUCUGUUAUGACUAGUAGAGAUAUGUCAUUUUGUGUCAUUGUUCCCUGGUGGUCACGUGAUAGAUAGUGUGGGAGAGUUGGCAUUUUAGUCAAAUAUCUGACCUCCCCUCUUUCUAUUGUAAACACUUUGGUUUUAGCUGGGCAAAAUACCCGCCAUGAGCUGCUUAAGUCAGGGAUUUAAUGUAAGAUAAUUCAACUUCUACCUUAUUUAAAAAACUGUCAUUGUGGUUUCUGAAAAACUGAAUUUAUAGCUUUACUAAUACAGAAUCAAACUAUUUUUUAACAGGGUGACAAAUUGCAACAUUGUAAAGGAAGGCUUAAUAGAAAAAAAAAAUAGUACAUAGUAAUAGAACUGCUUGCUGAGUUCCAAGACUUUUAGAACAAGGUGAGGGGGGAGGACUUUUCCUUCCAAUUCCUUCUUCAUAACAUUGGAUGGAGUCCUUUUGGUGGGUAUUUUGACAGCUUCCUUUUUGUUUUGUUUUCUUUUGUUUUGUUUUUGGAGACAGUCUCCCUCUAUUGCCCAGGCUGGAGUGCAGUGGCACAAUCUGGGCUCACUGCAACCUCCGACUCCUGGACUCAAGUGAUUCUCAUGCCCCAACCUCCCAAGUAGCUGAGAUUACAGGCGUGCGCCACCACGCUGGCUAAUUUUUAUUUCAUGAUAUUUUGUGGAGAUAGGGUUUUGCCAUGUUGGCCAGGCUGGUCUCUGAAUUUCUGGCCUUAAGUGAUCCGCCCGCCUCUGCCUCCUAAAGUGAGGGGAUUACAGGCAUGAGCCAUUGUGCCCAGUGGACAGCAUCUUUUGUUACUGCUCUUUUCCUAGAAAAUCUCCAGUGUGGGGUUGCUAGGUAAAUACAAAACAUGCAUUUAAAUUUGAACUUUGGAUAAUGAAUAAUGUUUACUUCAUGCAUAUUUAAAAGAUAUUUGUGAAAAAAUUUAUUGUUCAUCUGAAGUUCAAAUUCAACUGGGCAUCUUUUUUAAGUUUUUGUAUUAUUUAUUUAUUUUUUUAAAUGAUGUGCUAAGUUUGGCAACACACCUCCAGAGUUUUCUGUUUUUCUGACUACUUUCUUCAAACUUCACUUUAUAAAAUGUCAAAAAGCAGCACACCACAGGUCUUAAUUGAUCUCUCCAUUGCUGUUCCUACUUUAACAUCAUUCCAUUCACCUCACACACCAAUUUUAUCUCACUCAAUGAGAAAUCAACCCACUUUUAAACUAUUUAUUAUAUUUUCAGGAGUGUGUGUAAGGUUAACUUUAAAUGUAAAUAAGUUAGGGGCCUUUCACUAUAUUUUUACAUUUGUUGCGCACUUUAGUUCUAUUAUUAUUAUAUUGUAAUAUAUAAUGAAAUAAUUAUACAAUUCACCAUAAUUUAGAAUCAGUGGGAUGCCUGAGCUUCUUUUCCUGCAACUGGACAGUCCCAUCUUGGGGUAAUGGGAGACAGUGACAGAUCAUCAGGCAUCCAAUUCUCAUAAGCAGCAUGAAACCUUGCAUACACAGUUCACAAUAGGGUUCAAUCUCCUGUAAGAAUCUAAUGCAGCCAGUGAUCUGACAGGAGGCGGAACUCAGGAGGUAGUGUGAAGGAUGGGGAGCAGCUGUAAAUACAGAUGAAGCAGGCUGGUCCCCAUGGUUCACACCUGUAAUCCCAGCAUUUGGGAGGCUGAGGUGAGCAGAUCACUUGAGGUCUGGAGUUUGAGACCAACAUGGCAAAACUCUGUCUCUACUCAAAAUACAAAAAUUAACCGAGCAUGGUGGUGCACCCUAGUAAUCCUAGCUACUAGGGAGGCUGAGACAGGAAAAUUGCUUGAACUUUAAAGGCGGAGGUUGCAGUGAGCCCAGAUCGUGACACUGCACUCCAGCCUGGGUGACAGAGCAAGACUCUGUCUCCAUGGCCCAGGGACUGGGGGCCCUUGCUGUAUAGGAUGUGUGAAAACUCUGUGCACACAAUCCAGGUGUGUAGCAGUGGUGUAUGAUCAGGAACAAGGUACUGAAAUUAGUCCCUUGUCUAAUCCAAGCUGUAGCUAUGGCUUAAGGAAGUGUGAGGGUAAGUUAGCAUCUGGUGGUCAGUGAGCUGCAAUUGUCUCGAUUUUGCUUAUUUUGGGGCCAGUGUUUGUUCAGUUGCUAGAGAAAAAGAAAGAAAAAAAAACCUUGUUGCAGUUAGAAUAUAGUCUAACCUUUAGGUGUUGGGGAUGGUACAUGACUUAUCCCUUUCCUGGCAUGCCUUUAGGUCUUGUUUAUAAUUUGGUAUCUUGUUGCUACAAAAAGUCCUUUUCCAUCACUCUUAUGAUCUCUACUUUAAUACUAUCAUCAAAACUGAUUACACAAGUUCAUCUGUUAAUGUUCAUUUUUAUUGAGAUUUUAUAUAUUUACACUUCAAAAAUUUCUUUUCACACAUAUGGAAACAUAUAUGAAUUUUAAAAUAUGCAUCUUCAUGAAAGUCCAAAUAACACUAUUUGGACUAUAGUUUGAGUUCAGAAAUUAUAUCUGCUGAAAAUUUGGGUGGGAGUAAAUAUCUUCCUUCUUAGUUUAACUUUAUUUUCAAGUGUUUGUCUUUAUUUUGUUUAUAAUUGGCAUGUAAUCGUUGUCUAUGCUUAUGCAAUACAGUGUGAUGUUUCAACAUGUGUGCAUUGUAUAAUGAUAAACUCAGUGUUGUUAGCAUGCCCAUCCCACCAAACCUUUGUCAUUUUUUGUGAAGAUAACUUUCAAGAUUGUUAUUUACAGCUGCCUGAAAAUAUACAAACAUAUUUAUUAGUUAUUGCCAUCCCACUAUGUAAGAGAGCACCAAAACUUAUUCUUUCUUUCUGACUGGAACUUUGUACCAAUUGAGCAAAUGUUUCCAUCUUCCAUUCUCCACUCCCAUCCCCAGCCUCUGGUAAACAGUAUGCUACUCUUUACUUCUGUGAGAUCAACUUUUCUAAAUUACACCUAUAAGUGAAAUCACUGUAGUUUUCUUUCUGUGCCUCGCUUAUUUUCCUUAAUAUUGUGUCCUUUAGGUUGAUCCCUUCUGCCAUUAAUGACAGGAUUUUUCCAUUUUUAUAGCAGAAUAGCAUACCACUGUGUAUGUAUACCACAUUUUCUUUGUUAAUUCAUCUGCUAAAGGACACUUAGGUUGAUUCCUUUUAUUGGCAAUUGUGAAUGAUGCUUUAUAAACACAGGAGUGCAGAUAUGUUUUCAACAUACUGAUUUAAAUAUCUUUCCAUAUAAACCCAGUGGUGAAAUUACUAGGUUAUGUGGUGGUUUAAUUUAAUAUUUUGAGGAAUCUCCGCAGUGUUUUCCAUAAUGGCCAGGCUAGUCUACAAUCCUAGCAGUAGUGUACAAUAGUUUCCUUUCUUCGUGUCCUUGACAGCAUUUGAUAUUUUACUUUCUUCUUGAUAGUAGCCAUUCUAACAAAAGUGAGGAGAUAUCUCAUUGUGGUUUUGAUUUGCAUUUCCCCAGUGAUUAGUGAUAUUGUGAAUUUGUGAAUUUCUUAUAUGCCUGCUGGCCCUUUGUAUGUCUUCUUUUAAGAUAUGUCUUUUCAGACCUUUUGUCCAUUUAUUAAUCAGAUUAUUUGGGGGGGGUGUUUUUCUAUUGCAUGAUUUGAGUUCGUUAUAUAUCAUGAAUAUUAGCCUAUUAUCAGAUGGAUGGUUUGCAAAUAUUUUCUUCCAUUCUGUAAGUUGCCUCUUUGCUCUGUUCAUUGUAUCUUUUCUUGUACAGAAGCUUUUUAGUUCAGUGUAAUCCCAUCUGUCUAUUUUUGUUUUAUUGACUGUGCUUUUCAUGUACCACCAAAAAAAAUUAUUGAUCAGACUAAUGUUAUGAACUGUUUUCCUUGUGGUUUUUUCUGAUAGUUUUAUAGUUUUGAGUAUUAUACUUAAGUCUAUAAUCUAUUUUGAAAUGAUGUUUGUAUGCAGUUAAAGAUAAGGGUCUAGUUUCAUUCUUCUUCAUAUGGAUAUCCAGUUUUUCCAGCACCAUAUAUUGAAGAGACUAUCUUUUCUUCCAUGUGUGUUUUUGGCAGCUUUGUCAAAAAAUAUGUGACCAUAAGUGUGUAGAAUUAAUUUUGGGUUCUCAAUUUUGUCGCAUUGAUCUUUGUUUUUAUUUUUAUACAAGUACCAUGCCGUUUUGGUUAUUAUUGCUUUAUACAGUAUUUGGAAGUCAGGUAAGGUGAUGCCUCCAGCUUUGCUCCUUUUUUAUUUGUUUUAUUUUUUAUUCUGAUAUGUAUUUAAAUACAAGGUAAAAUAUUACAAUCAUACUAACAGAAAUAUGAGAAUUUUUAGUGAAACAAGAUGAGUGAUUCUAGAGCAUUUAUUUUCAGUAAAUUUUAACUCAAUUUUAUACUAUAUAUACUAUGCUAUUUGUACUAGAAGUAUUUGUAAUUUUAGUUAAUAUUGAUAAUUUAUUUUGGUGAAGAGAAAUUUCAUGAACCUAUCUAUUCUGACACCUCUCUAUCAUGACAAAGAGAUAUAUAAAUAAUUUAAAAAAUUAACUCCUUUUCAAUUGCAACAAAAACAAAAAUUGACAAAUGAAGUCUAAUCAAUCUAAAGAGCUUCUGCAUAGCAAAAAAACCUAUCAACCAAGUAAACAGACAACCUAAAGAAUGAAAUAAAUUUUUUGGAAACUAUGCAUCUGAAAAAGAUCUAAUAUCCAGCAUCUAUAAGAAACUUAAAAAAAAUCUACUAGAUUAAAACAAACAAUCCCAUUAAAAAGUGGGCAAAUGACAUGAACAGACACUUUUCAAAAGAAGGCAUACCUGUGGCCAAUGAGCAUAUUAAAAAAGCUUAAUAUCACUGAUCAUAAGAGAAAUGCAAAUUAAAACCACAGUGAGAUACCAUCUCACACCAGUUAGAAUUGUUAUUAUUAACAACAAAACAUAGCAGGUAUUGGCAAGGUUUUGGAGAAAAAGGAACACUUAUACACUGUUUGUGGGUGUGUUAACUAGUUCAACCAUUGUGAAAGGCAGUGUGGUGAUUGCUCAAAGACCUAAAAACAGAAAUACCAUUCAACCCAGCAAUCCCAUGACUGGGUAUAUAUUCAAAGUAAUAUAAAUUUUUCUGCCAUAAAACAUAUGAAUGCUUAUGUUCACUGCAGCACUAUUCACAAUAGCAAACUCAUGAAAUCAACCUAAAUGUCCAUCAAUGGUAGAAAGGAUGAAGAAAAUAUGUUAAAUAUACACCAUGGAAUACUAUGCAGCCAGAAAAAAGAAUGAGAUCAUGUCCUUUGUAUGAACAGCAAUGGAGCUGGAAGCCAUUAUCCUUAGCAAACUAACACAGGAAUAGUAAACCAAUACUGCAUGUUCUCACUUAUAAUUGGGGGCUAAAUGAUGAGAACACAUGGACACAUAGAGGGGAACAACAGACAGUGGAAGGGAGGAGGGGGAGAGGAUCAGGAAAAAUAACUAAUGGACACUAGACUUAACAUGUGGGUGAUGGAACAAUUUGUAAAACAAACCCCCAUGACAUGAGAUUACCUGUAUAACAAACCUGCACAGGUACCCCUGAACGUAAAAUGAAAGUUAAAAAAACUUCCUUUUAAAAAUUUUAUUUUAGUUUCAGUGAGUACAGGUGAAAGUUUGUUACCUGGGCAAAUUGCACGUCAGGCUUUGAUGUACAAAUUGUUCACCCAACUAUUGAGUAUAGUACCUGAUAUGCAUUUUUUUAAUCCUCAUCCUCCUUCCACCCCUCACCCUCACGUAAACUAUGGUGUCUAUUGUUUCCUUUUUUGUGUACACGUGUAUUCAAUAUUUAGUUCCCAUUUAUAUGCAGUGUUAGGUUUUCUGUUUCUGUGUUAAUUUGUUUAAGAUAAUAACCUCCAGUUGUAUCCAUUUCACUGAAAAUAAGGUUAUUUCAUUUUCUAAAAAAAUUACUUCCAACCAUGGUGAUGGGAUUAUUUUGUUUUUCUUUAUGCCUGCAUAGUAUUCCAUGGUGUAUAAGUACAACAUUUUCUUUAUCUAGUACACCAUUGAUAGGCAUUUAGGUUGAUUCCAUGUCUUUGCUAUUGCAAAUAGUGCUCUAUUUUUUGGAAUAGUUUCAGUGGCAAUGGUACCAGGUCUUCUUUAUAUUUUGGUAGAAUUCGGAUGUGAAUCCAUCUGCAGGAAAGUCUGGUCCAGGGCUCUUUCUGGUUGGUAGGUUUUUCAUUAUUGAUUUAUUACUGAUGUUCAUUAUUGAUCAUAUUUCUCAUUUGUUUAUGAAGAUUAGUUUGGCCGGAUAUAAAAUUCUUGGUUGAAAUUAUCUUUAAGAAUGAUGAAUAUGGGCUCCAAUCUCUUCUGACUUGUACAGAUUCUCCUGAAGAAUUUGCAAGUUUCUUGAUGGGGUUUUCUUUUGUGAGCAACCUGUCCCUUCUCUGCAGCUCUUUUAUAUAUAUAUAUAUUUCAUUGACCUUGGGGAAUCUGAUUUCUAUGUGUCUUGGAAAUGGUCAUCUUGCAGGGGUUCUUUGUAUUUUCUCAAUUUGAAUGUGAACUUUUCUAGUAUGCUUCAGAAAAUUUUCAUAGACAAUAUGCUUAAAUAUGUUUUCCAAGUUGCUUUUUGUCUCUGUGUCUCUUUCAGGAAUGCCAAUUCUUUGUAGGUCUGGUCUCUACAUAAUUCUAUAUUUCUUGGAGGUAUUGUUUAUUUUAAAAAGAAUUAAAAUUUCUUUCUGAUAGAGUUGAUUUGAAGAACUGGCCUUAAAAUCUUAUUCUAUUUUGCUCAUCUUAGUCUGUCUUCCUGUUAAUAAUUUCUGAUUGUAUUACAGAAUUCUUGUAGUGAGUAUUUCAGCUCUUAUGAUCAGUUUUGUUCUUUCUUAAAAUGGCUAUUUUGUCUUUCAGUUGUUGAAUCAUUUUUGGAUUCCUUAUAUUCCUUGGAUUUUGUUUUGACUUUCUCCUGAAUUUCUGUGAUCUUUGUUUCCAUCCAGAUUCUAAAUUCUGUUUGUCGUUUCAGCCAUUUUGGUCUGGUUAAAAACCAUUGCUAGGGAGCUAGUGCAGUUGUUUGGGGAUAAGAAGACAUUCUGGCUUUUAGAGUUUCAGAGUUCUUGCACUGGUUGUUUUGUAUGUGUGUGGGCUGAUGUUCAUUUAAUCUUUGAAGUCGCUCUUCUUUGUAUGGUGCUUUUUGCUUGUAUUUUCUUUGGUGUCCUUGAAGGUUUGACUGGUAUAAGUUGGGUUUAGUUGAUGGCCUUCAUUUCUAGAUGAUUCAGGGGGCCAACAUUCAGCUCUGCACUACUGGGCUGUGUAAUUUAACCAUGGGUAGAUGGUACCAGGCCUGUGAUUUUGUUCUCUGUCUCCUCCAGGUUAAGCACCUGCUGUGCUGGAUGGGCCAAGGUGCUCCCUGUCUGGUGGCAACAAUACUCCAAUGGGAGUGCUGGCGAAAGUGAUUCAUUUGAGUAGUGGCAGUGGGUUCCAUGCAUGCAUGCAUGCUUGUGUCAGCAGGAUCGGUGUGCAAGUGUGUAUCCAAGCAGUGGCAUGGCAUUGACAUGGUCGGGUCUGCAAGUGCACACAGUCUCCACUGGCAGAGUGCAGUGGGGUCUGCACAUGUGUGCACACCACCAGCAGCAGCAUGGCAGUGUUCACAUGUGCAUGUGCCAGCACAUCUGUAGGGGAGACUGUGGGUGAGUGCACAUCAGCAGAAGCUGCGGGUGGUGCUUAUCAGCAGAAGCUCUCUGAUGGUUAAGCAAGAUCUGUCAGUGUAGGAGCUAUGAAGUUGGCUGCUGGGAAAUGCCUCAGUUGGGCAUCUGAGUCUGUGCUACAAGCAACUAUAGCCAGGCAGGGACCCUGGGAAAGGCUGGUAGAUAGGGGGAUGCUCAGAUCACACUGGCCGCAUCCUACAGGCAACAUAACCCUAUUCUGUACAGGACUGAUAGUCAACAAAAUCCAAAUCCACCUACAUGAACAUGUUAUGCCUCAGGGAAUGGGCAUCCAUGAUGGUGCUCCACUGCAGCCAUUCUGGCACCAAAACCUCUGAGUCCCAUGCAGGCUGGAGCCCUGUCCCUGCCAACUCCCCAAGAAGCUCUUUCUGCUAGCUCAAAUGCCUGUUAGGGACAUGGGGUUUUCUGCAGCUAUGAUUCUGGAGGUUUGUGGACUCCUUCUUUACACCAAAUGCAAAAAUUAAAUCAAGAUGGAUUAAAGAUGUAAAUGUAAAACCAAAAACUAUAAAAAUCCUGGAAGACAACCUAUACAAUACUGUUCUCCACAUAGGAAUCAGCAAAGAUUUUAUGAUGAUGCCAAAAGCAAUUGCAACAAAAGCAAAAAUCAGCAGAGUAAACAAACAGCCUAUGGAAAGGAAAAUAAAUUUUGCAAUCUAUGCAUCUGACAAAGUCUAAUAUGAAGCAUCUAUAAGGAGCUUAAACAAAACUACAAGAAAAAAAAACAGACCUAUUAAAAAGUGGGCAAAAGACAUAAACAGGCACUUUUCUUCUUUUCUUUAAAUAGCUACCUUUAUUUGUAAAGUUCAUUUUUAAAAAUUUUGUAUUUCAAUAGUUUUGGCGGUACAGGUGGUUUCUGGUUACAUGUAUGUGUUCUUUAGCAGUGAUUUAGAGAUUCUGGUGCACCAUCACUAAAGCAGUAUACACUGUACUCAAUAGGUAGUCUUUUAUUCAUCACCCCAAUCCUACCUUUCCCCUUGUGUCCACAAAGCCAAUUAUAUCAUUCUUAUGCCUUUGCAUCCUCAUAGCUUAGCUCCCACUUAUAAGUAAGAACAUACAUCAUUUGGCUUUCUAUUUCUGAGUUACUUCACUUAGAAUAAUGGCCUCCGGAACUCACCACAGCACAGAAAAGCAGCUAUGGCCAGACUGCCUUACUAGAUUCCUCCCCACUGGGCAGGGCAUCUCUGAAAGAAAGGCAACAGCCCCAGUCAGAGGCUUAUAGAUAAAAUUCCCAUCUCCCUGGGACAGAACACCUGGGGGAAGGGGAGGCUGUGGGCGCAGCUUCAGCAGACUUAAAUGUUCCUGCCAGACGGCUCUGCAGAGAGCAGCGUAUCCUGACAAGGAGGAUUCUCCCAGCACAGAACGGGAGCUCCACUAAGGGACAGACUGCUUCCUUAAGUGGGUCCCUGACCCCCGUGCCUCCCGACUGGGAGACAGCUCCCAGCAGGGGUCAGCAGACACCUUAUACAAGAGAGCUCCAGCUGGCAUCUGGCAGGUGCCUCUCUGAGACAAAGCUUCCAGAUGAAGGAGCAGGCAGCAGUCUUUGCUGUUCUGCAGCCUCUGCUGGUGAUACCCAGGCAAACAGGGUCUGGAGUGGACCUCCGGCAAACUACAGCAGACAUGCAGAAAAGGGGCCUGAUUGUUAGAAGAAAAACUAAAAAACAAAAAGUAAUAACAUCAACAUCAAAGAAAAAGAAGGAACCCCAUUUAAAAAAACCCAUCCAGGCAUGGCUGGCAAUAUGGCUAAACAAGAACAGUUCUGAUCUGCAGCUCCCAGCAAGGUCAACACAAAAGGAGGGUGAUUUCUGCAUUUCCAACUGAGUUACCUGGCUCAUCUCAUUGGGACUGGUUAGACAGUGGAUGCAGCCCAUGGAGGGUGAGCAGAAACAGGGUGGGGCAUCACCUCACCCAGGAAGUGCAAGGGGUUGAGGAACUCCCUCCCCUAGCCAAGGGAAGCUGUAAGGGACUGUGCCAUGAAGAAUGGUGCAUUCCAACCCACAUACUAUGCUUUUCCCAUGGUCUUUGCAACCCACAGACCAGGAGAUUCCCUCGGUGCCUACACUACCAAGGCCCUGCAUUUCAAGCACAAAACUGGGCAUCUGUGUGGGCAGAAACUGAUCUAGCAGCAGGAGUUUCUUUUCGUAACCUAGUGACGCCUGGAAUGCCAGUGAGAUGGAACCAUUCACUUCCCUGGAAAGGGGGCUGAAGCCAGAGAGACAAGUGGCCUAGCUCAGUGGAUCCCACCCCCGGAAAGCCCAGCAAGCUAAGAUCCGUGAAAUUCUUGCUGCCAGCACAGCAGUAUGAAGUCAAUCUGGGAUGCUCCAGGUUGGUGGGGGGAGGGGUGUCCACUAUUACUAAGGCUUGAGUAGGCGGUUUUCCAAUCACAGCAUAAACAAAGCUGCCAGGAAGUUCAAACUGGGUGAAGCCCACCACAGCUUGGCAAAGCCACUGUAGCCAGACUGCCUCUAGAUUCCUCCAUUCUGGGCAGGGCAUCUUUGAAAGAAACACAGCAGCCCCAGUCAGGGGCUUAUAGAUAAAACUUUCAUUUCCCUGGGACAGAGAACCUGGGAAAGGGGUGGCUGUGGGCGCAACUUCAGCAGACAAAUGUUCCUGCCUGCCAGCUCUGAAGAGAGCAGCACAUCUCCCAGCACAGCACUCGAGCUCUGCUAGGGACAGACUGCCUCCUCAACUGGGUCCAUAACCCCCAUGCCUCCUGACUGUGAGGCACCUCUCAGAAGGAGUCAACAGACACCUCAUAUAGGAGAGCUCUGGCUGACAUCUGGAGGGUGCCCCUCUGGGAUGAAGCUUCCAGAGGAAGGAAAAGGCAGCAAUCUUUGCCAUUCUGCAGCCUCUGCUGGUGAUACUCAGGCAAACAUGGUCUGGAGUGGACCUACAGCAGUCUCCAGCAGACCUGCAGCAGAGGGGCCUGACUGUUAGAAGGAAAACUAACAAACAGAAAGGAAUAAUAUCAACAUCAACAAAAACAACCACACCAAAACCCCAUCCAAAGGUCACCAACAUCAAAGACCAAAGGUAGACAAAUCUAUAAAGAUAGAGAGAAACAAGCGAAAAAAGGCUGAAAAUUGCAAAAACUAGAAGGCCUCUUCUCCUCCAAAGGAUCACAAUUCCUUUUCAGCAAGGGAACAAAACUGAACAGAGAAUGAAUUUGACAAAUUGACAGAAGUAGGCUUCAGAAGGUGGAUAAUAACAAACUCCUCUGGGCUAAAGGAGCAUGUUCUAACCCAAUGCAAAAAAGCUAAGAAGCUUGAAAAAAAGGUUCGUUGAAUUGCUAACUAGGAUAACCAGUUUAGAGAACAUAAAUGACCUGAUGGAGCUGAAAAACAUAGCAUGAGAACUUCGUGAAGCAUACGCAAGUAUCAAUAGCUGAAUCAAUCAAGCAGAAGAAAGGACAUCGAGGUUGAAGAUCAUCAUAAUGAAAUAAAGCGUGAAGACAAGAUUAGAGAAAAAAGAAUAAAAAGAAACGAACAAAGUUUCCAAAGUAUAUGGGACCAUGUGAAAAGACCAAACCUAUGUUUGAUUGGUGUACCUGAAAGUGAUGGGGAGAAUGGAACCAAGUUGGAAAACACUCUUCAGGAUAUUAUCCAGGAGAACUUCCCCAACCUAGAAAGACAGGCCAACAUUCAAAUUCAGGAAAUGCAGAGAACACCACAAACAUACUCCUCGAGAAGAGGAACCCCAAGGCACAUAAUCGUCAGAUUCACCAAGGGUGAAAUGAAGGAAAAAAUUAUCAGGUCAGCCAGAGAGAAAGGUCGGGUUACCCACAAGGGAAUCCCAUCAGACUAACAGCAGAUCUCUGUUAGUCAGAAGAGUGGGGCCAAUAUUCAACAUUCUUAAAUAAGAGAAUUUUCAACCCAGAAUUUCAUAUCCAGCCAAACUAAUCUUCAUAAGUGAAGGAGAAAUAAAAUCCUUUACAGACAAGCAAAUUCUGAGAGAUUUUCUCACCACCAGGCCUGCCUUCCAAGAACUCCUGAAGGAAGCCCUAAACAUGAAAAGGAACAUCUGGAACCAGCCACUGCAAAAACAUACCAAAUUGUAAAGACCAUGGACACUAUGAAGAAAUUGCAUCAAUUAACGGACAAAACAGUGAGCAAGCAUCAUAAUGACAGGUUCAAAUUGACCCAUAACAAUAUUAACCUUAAAUGUAAAUGGGUUAAAUGCCCCAGUUAAAAGACACACACUGGCAAAUUGGAUAAAGAGUCAAAACCCAUUGGUGUGCUGUAUUCAGGAGACCCAUCUCACAUGCAAAGAAACACAUAGGCUCAAAAUAAAAGGAUGGAGGAAUAUUUACCAAGGAAAUGGAAAACAAAAAAAAAGCAAACAUUGCAAUCCUAGUCGCUGAAAAAAACAGACUUUAAACCAACAAAGAUCAAAAGAGACAAAGGAGGGCAUUACAUAAUGGUAAAGGGAUCAAUGCAACAAGAAGAGCUAACUAUCCUAAGUAUACAUGCACCCAAUACAGGAGCAACCAGAUUAUAAACCAAGUUCUUAGAGACCUACAAAGAAACUUAGACACCCACACAAUAAUAGUGGGAGACUUUAACACCCCAUUGUUAAUAUUGGACAGAUCAGUGAGACAAAAUUAACCAGGAUAUUCAAGACUUGAACUCUGCUCUAGACCAAGCAGGCCUAAUAGACAUCUACAGAACUCUCCACCCCAAAUCAACAGAAUAUACAUUCUUCUCAGCACCACAUCACACUUAUUCUAAAAUUGACCAAAUAAUUGAAAGUAAAACACUCCUCAGGAAAUGCAAAACAAUGGAAAUCAUAUCAAACAGUCUCUCAGACAACAGGGUAAUCAAAUUAGAACUCAGGAUUAAGAAACUCACUCGAAACCCCACAACUUGGAAACUGAACAACCUGCUUCUGAAUGACUACUGGGUAAAUAAUGAAAUAAAGACAGAAAUAAAUAAGUUAUUUGAAACCAAUAAGAACAAAAACACAAUGUGGCAGAAUCUGUGGGACACAGCUACAGCCAUGUUUAGAGGGAAAAUUAUAGCACUAAAUGCCCACAAGAGAAAGUGGGAAAGAUCUAAAAUUGAAAACCUAACAUCACAAUUAAACGAUCUAGAGAAGCAAGAACAAACAAAUUCCAAAGCUAUCAGAAGACAAGAAAUAACUAAGAUCAGAGCAAAACUGAAAGAGAUAGAGACAUGAAGAACCCUUUGAAAAAUCAAUGAAUCCAGGAGCUGUUUUUUUUAAAGAUCAACAAAAUAGAUAAUCUGCUAGCCAGACUAACAAACAAGAAGAGAAAGAAGAAUCAAAUAGGUGCAAUAAAAAAUGCUAUAGGGGAUAAACUACUGAUCCCACAGAAAUAAAAACUUCCAUCAGAGAAUACUAUAAACACCUCUAUGCAAAUAUACUAGAAAAUCUAGAAGAAAUGGAUAAAUUCCUGGACACAUAAACCCUACUAAGUCUAAACCAGAAAGAAGUCGAAUCCCUGAAAAGACCAAUAACAAGUUCUGAAAUUGAUGCAGUAAUUAAUAGCCUAACAACCAAAAAGAGUCCAGGAUCAGAUGGAUUCACAGCCGAAUUCUACCACAGGUGAAAAGAGGAGCUGGUAGCAUUCCUUCUGAAACUAUUCCAAACAAUAGAAAAAAAGGGAAUCCUCCUUAACUCAUUUUAAGAGGUCAGCAUCAUCCUGAUACCAAAACCUGGCAGAAACAAAACCAAAAAAGAAAUUUCAGGCCAAUAUCCCUGAGGAAUAUGUGAAAAUUCUCAAUAAAAUACUAGCAAGCCAAAUCCAGCAGCACAUCAAAAAGCUUAUCGACCAUGAUCAAUUCGGCUUCAUCCCUGGGAUGCAAGGCUGGUACAACAUACCUGAAUCAAUUUUAAUGCAAUCCAUCACAUAAACUGAAUCAAUGACAAAAACCAGAUUAUCUCAAUAAUACUGGGUAUAUAUACAGCAUUGCAUAAUAAAAAUCAUGCUUUGUUAUUAUUCAAUAACAAAGUAAGUCUUGUGGCACUGUGCCUUAAAAGUGUGGCAUUAAAAGUCCACUUAAUUCUUCCUUUCUUUUCUUGACAUGGUGAGUAUGCAGUAAAAAUAAUUGUGGGUUGGUGAUAUAUGGGACACUCAAAACACUUUUGAGUUGUGACUGCAUCACUGCAAUUUUUAGUGGGUUGAGCUGCAGUGCAAAGUGACAUUGGGUCAGUUUUGCAGCUACUCAAUACUGUCAGUGUGGCUGAAAACAGCUAUGCAUAAUAUAAAAACAAAUCCAUAUGGCUAGGUAUAAAAACUUUAUGAGGAAUGAAAUUUUUAUUUUAUAUACUUUUCAUAUUUUAUAAAAUAUUAUUUUAUUAAUCAUUAAAAAUGUAAAAGCCAUUCUUAGCUAAUGGGUAAUAUAAGAAUAUAUAGCAGGCCAUGCUUGACAUAUAGUUUGUAAUUUGCUAAUUUCUCUUUUAGAAAACUGUGAUAUACUAGUUUAGGUUAAUAAUUGUUGAGAAGAUUUACAGAGGCUCUGAGGGAAAAGAACAGAUAAUGCAUUGGAAGAAAUAAGGAUAAGUUACAUAUUAGACUCACUUUAAUACAAAUAAGAAAAGUUUUUUUUACCUUCUUUAUUAUGACAGAAAAACAGAAUGAUCAAACAGGCUUCCACUCAAGAGAUACUGUCCUGCAAGUGAGGCAUUUGAAUAGUAUAAAAUUAGAAGGAUGUGAAGGAAGAGGGGUAGUGUAUUAACAUAUCAAUUUUAAAAUACAGCCAUUUAAAGAAGAGUUUCUCUCUCUCUCUCCCUCCAUCCCUCUCUCUCUCUCUCUUAACAGCACCAGAGCAGGCCAUUUAUCUGUGUUCUUGUGGCACUUUAACUAUAUAAGGCCAUUCAGAAAAUGAUUCAUGCUUUUUUUAUCUUGUUUGUCUACCAUUCUGUACAAUGUGGUCUUCAUCUGUAUGAUCAAAGGCAAAUCACCACCAUAUUUGUAUUCCAGGCUGUAAGACAGGGAGAAGUAAAAGACCAGGACAAGUGACUUUAACUAAGUAAUACACAUCGCUUUCAUUCACAUCUCAUCAGCCAGGACAAAAUCAGAUGACCACACCUAGCUGCAUGGGAGGCAAUAAACUUGUCUCUAGUUAAGUGGUCAUAGGCGAGUGCUUCAAACGUGUUUUCCCUAUUACUGAAAGAGAGUGUUGUAGAUGAGAGACCGAAGAUACAGUCUCUUUUUACUUGAUAAAAGUGGUAAAUUUUCUUCAACAGAAUUUCUAUUUUACUUCUUAAUAAAUUUAUUAGAAGUGUUUUACAGAAAUUUUCAGAUCAUUUAUUUAUUUAAUGAGUCAAACACGCAUGAACAGGCACUCUUCCAAAUAAUCCAAAUAAAGUAUCUAGCUAGAUGACAUAUUUACUCACAUGGAGCUAACAUUCUAGAGAAGAACAUAUAGAAUAAACAAAGAUUCAAUUUAAUAAAAAUGUUAAGAACAAUGACAUUUAGAUAAGUUGGGUUAAUAAUCAGAUUACUGAGUAGCAAAAUUGUAAGUGGAAACAUGCAAAACUUUAAAGCUAGUUCUGGCUCUUGCACCAACAGGUAAUUUUCUGCAUUUGUUUUUUAAUAGAUUACAUCGUUAUCUUAAGUCAUCUGAACCUAUAGAGAUACAUACAGGGAACACCUGCUAGGAGUAAGGUUAGGCAAAGAAAUUCAGUUGUGUCUUUCUCAUGUUGAUCCAUCUGAUAAAAGAAUAGCUAGAAUAGAUAGAUAAAGAAUAGCAAUUUUUGCACUAUAAAUCUAAUAAUGUGGGCCAGGCAUGGUGGCUCACGCCUGUAAUCCCAGCUGUUUGGGAGGCGGAGGCGGGUGGAUCACCUGAGGUCGGGAGUUUGAGAACAGCCUGAUCAACAUGGAAAAACCCCAUUUCUACUAAAAAUACAAAAUUAGCCAGGCUUGGUGGUGCAUGCCUGUAAUCCCAGAUACUGGGGAGGCUGAGGUAGGAGAAUCGCUUGAACCCGGGAGGCGGAGUUUAUGGUGAGCCAAGAUCACGCCAUUGCACUCCAGCCUGGGCAACAAGAGCAAAGCUCCGUCUCAAAAAAAAAAAAAAAAAAAAAAAAAAAUCGAAUAGUGUGUCUUUUUUUUUUUUUUUUUUUUUUCUGUUAAGCAUGUGAACGUUGGAAUGCUGGAGAUGACCUUUGUACUAUUUGGUACUUGAGUCUUUUUAAUUAUCUUCUUUGCUUAUUCCAAGAAGAAGUUUAGAUAUUCCCUUAUUUGGGCUUCACAUAAUAUGUCUGCCUAAUUCUGCCAAUAUGUACCAAAGUGUAUUUUGCACUUUUAUGAAAAAUAGAGAAGGUUCAAUGAUGGCCUAAGACAUAGAGUGCUUUUGUGAUGUAGUUUUAAGUUAUAUAUGUCAUUUUACAAAAUACUAUGUGAAUUUCCAAACUUUGGAAGUAAAAUUUGUCUAGAUAUUGAAAUAUGAGUUUGGAGCCAAAGAAUGUUUUUUAAAUAAGAUUGUUAUCAUAGUGCUAUUGUGGCAGGCCAGGUCUCCAUUAGCAACCAGAACAGUCAGUUUCCACUAACCCUUUACUAUAGUUCUGAUGAAUGUAUAAGUUAAACAUUAAAGAAUUGGAGAAACUAGUGCUUUAGUACAAGGGCUGGGAUGUGAAAACAAAACCAUUAAGACCUUGCCUGGGUUUUCUCAGAACUUAAAGCCUGAUAAAAUAAUGAAGGCAUUCUUACACACACCUUGUUCCAGGGCCCAUUAAGAUUAACAAAUUUUUCCAAGGCUCUGAAUUAAACUUCCAGGCCCCAGACCCUAGUUAAAGAUUAGAUUGAGUGAAACACUCCUGUUUAUAGUUGCACACGUGCAUGCAGGCAUAUAGCUUGAAUGUAUUAAUGUAUAAGCAAGUGCUGAAAAAAAUCUUGUAACUUUGGGUUGGUCUGGUGAACUACCCUGACCUUCUCCUUAUGGCCAGUUACAGAAAUAAACUCUCUUCUUUCCCAGUCUGUCUGUAACUCGUUAAUUGGACCAUGAGACCAAGUAGCUGGACUCCAGUUUUUUCUGGGUAUACUAUGUUUGCUUGACUUUUGAUAUGCUGGGUUCUUUGAAUAUGCAAAUGUCUUUAUUUAAAAUCCAUUUUAAUUUCCCUGCUGAAGCCAUUGAAGGAAGGCCACAGAUUGGAUGAAUCAUGAAGACUAAUAUUUUACUUGAUUUAGGAGGAAUGCAGUUCAAAAUGACUAUUGCUUAGAGAUUCUGGUCACAAUAAAUAUAACCUUGACUGCAUUUAAAUGGAAAGUCUUUUAUACUUCUGAAAUGGCUAGUUUAGUGUCCUAAACUAAUGUGUGGACCAUUGUAAUUUACCAUGAAGACUUCAUAAAACAAAGGCCAUAGACAUUGAACAAACUGUGAGCUUUAUUUAGAUGGCAUUUAAAAAUUUAUUUUGACAUAUCCUUGCAAAAGUGAUUGGAACCAUAAUUGGAAGUUGGAUACAGCAAUAAUUGUGAGCAAUUUAUUGUGGCAUCUCCUUACAGAGAUAUAUAUUCUAUACAACUAAACUCCUUCAAAUACUUGAAGAACAUCUGUAAGGGAUCAAAAUAUGCCAGCUCAGUUCCCUUUCUACACAUUAAGUAGAAGCUAUCAAAAAAAUAAAUUAAGAAAACCAUAUCAUUUGUAAUGGCAUCAGUAAGAAUAAAAUAGAUAGGAAUAAAUUUAACCAAGGAGGUGAAACAUUAUGGCAUUCAACACUUUAAAUGUGUGAAUUGUAUGAUAUAUGAAUUGUAUCUCAAUAAAGCUGUUUAAAUAACAAUGUACUAUAUUCUUAAAAUUUGCUAUGACAGUAGAUUGAAAGUGUUCUCACCAAAAAAAAUAGUGCGUUUGUUAGGUAAUGCAUAUGUUAAUAAGCAUGAUCUAGCCAAUCCACAAUGUAAACAUAUUUUAAGACACCAUGUUAUACACCAUUAAUAUAUAUAAUUUUUGUCUACUAAAAUAAUUAUAAAUAAUUAAAAAACAGGAGAUAUUACAAUUGAUACUACAGAAUUACAAAAGUUCACACUAGUUGAGUAUGAACAAUUGUACACCAACAAAAAAGAUAACCUAGAAGAAAUAAAAAAAAAACUAAGAAACAUUCAACCUAAAAAGACUGAAUCAUGAAGAAAUAGAAAAUAUGAACAGACUAACAAUUAUUAAGGAGAUUGAAUCAAUAAUCAAAACUUUCCCAACAAAUAGAAUCCCAGGACCUGAUGGCUUCCCUGGUGAAUUAUACCAAACAUCUAAAGAAGAAUUAAAAUCUAUCUUCUCAAACACUUCCAAAAAAUUCAUUAGGAGAUAACACUUCCAAACUCAUUUUGCAAGGCCAGUAUUAGUCCAAAGCCUGACAAGGAUACUACAAGAAAAGAAAAUAUAGGUGAAUAUCCCUGAUGAACAAAACACAAAAAUUCUCAACAAAACGCUGGCCAACUGAAUUCAAAUGCAUAUUAAAAGGAUCAUACAACAUAAUCAAGUGGAAUUUAUUUCUGGGAUAAAUGGAUGGUUCAUUAUAUGCAAAACAAAUAAAUGUGAUACAUUACUUUAAAAGAAUCAAAAACAAUAACCAUAUGAUUAUCUUAAUAGAUGCAGUGAAAGCGUUUAAUAUAAUUCAACAUCUUUACAUGAUAAAAUCUCUCAAAAAACUAGAGUUAGUAGGAAGGUACCUCAACACAACAAAGGCCAUAUACCCCAAGUCAACAGCUAACCUCAUACUAAGUGGUAAAAUGCUGAAAGUUUCUCCUCUAAGAUCAGGAACAAGACAAGGAUUCUCACUGAUGCCAAUUCAAUUCAACGCAGUACUAAAAGUCUUAAUCAGAGUAGUUAGGCAAGAGAAAGAAACAAAGUCAUCCAAAUUGGAAACGAGUUAAAAUGUCUCUGUUUGCAGGUGACAUGAUCUUAUAUACAGAAAUCCCUAAAGACCCCACCAAAAACUGUUAAAACUAACAAAUUCCAUGAAGCUGCUGAACAAAAAAUCAGUUCUCUUUCUAUACACUAGAUAGAAACUAUUCAAAAAAGAAAUGAAGAAAAUCAUGAGAGUCGCUUCCAAGACGGCCGAAUAGGAACAGCUCUGGUCUACAGUUCCCAGUGAGAUCGACACAGAAGAUGGGUGAUUUCUGCAUUUCCAACUGAGUUACCUGGUUCAUCUCACUAGGAAUGGUUGGAGAGUGGGUGCAGCCCAUGGAAGGUGAGCCAAAGUGGGGGGUGGGGGAGUGUUGCCUCACCCAGGAAGUGCAAGGGGUCAGGGGAUUUCCCUUUCCUAGCCAAGGGAAGCCAUGAGUGACUGUACCUGGAGGAGCGGUACACUCCUUUCCAAAUGCUGUGCUUUUCCCAUGGUCUUCACAACCAACAGACCAGGAGAUUCCUGGAGACCUGCAGACCAGGAGACCUGCCUGGCUUGGUGGUUCCCACACCCACAGAGCCUUGCUCGCUGCUAGUGAAUCAAUCUGAGAUUAACCUGGGAUGCUGAAGUUUGGCAGGGGGAGGGGCG
Molecule: long non-coding RNA, 36933 nt
Filed under: Homo sapiens (human)
Lineage: Eukaryota; Metazoa; Chordata; Mammalia; Primates; Hominidae
Description: non-protein coding lnc-FAAH2-1:8
Source: RNAcentral